AUUGAACGCUGGCGGCAGGCCUAACACAUGCAAGUCGAGCGGAUGAAGGGAGCUUGCUCCUGGAUUCAGCGGCGGACGGGUGAGUAAUGCCUAGGAAUCUGCCUGGUAGUAGGGGAUAACGUCCGGAAACGGGCGCUAAUACCGCAUACGUCCUGAGGGAGAAAGUGGGGGAUCUUCGGACCUCACGCUAUCAGAUGUGCCUAGGUCGGAUUAGCUAGUUGGUGGGGUAAAGGCCUACCAAGGCGACGAUCCGUAACUGGUCUGAGAGGAUGAUCAGUCACAUGGACACGGAGACGGGGCCCAGCCUCCUGCGGGGGCAGGAGGGGGGGAAUUUGGGACAAGGGGAGAAGCCUGAACCCCGCAGUGCCGGGUGGGAAAAGAAGUUUUUGGAAUUGAAAACCUUUUUAGGGGGGGAGAAGGGAAAGUAAUUUAAUCCCUUGCUUUUUUGCCGUUACCAAAAAAAAAACCCCGGGCUACCUUCGUC
This 484-nucleotide ribosomal RNA is filed under the name uncultured bacterium. Its description in RNAcentral is "partial 16S ribosomal RNA". It matches the Rfam family "Bacterial small subunit ribosomal RNA", at positions 30 to 507 of the family's 1533-position model. The record is from RNAcentral.